GAUGAACGCUGGCGGCGUGCCUAAUACAUGCAAGUCGAGCGAACAGACGAGGAGCUUGCUCCUCUGACGUUAGCGGCGGACGGGUGAGUAACACGUGGAUAACCUACCUAUAAGACUGGUAUAACUUCGGGAAACCGGAGCUAAUACCGGAUAAUAUAUUGAACCGCAUGGUUCAAUAGUGAAAGUCGGUUUUUCUGUCACUUAUAGAUGGUUCCACGCCGCAUUAGCUAGUUGGUACGGUAACGGCUUACCAAGGCAACGAUGCGUAGCCGACGUGAGAGGGUGAUCGGCCACACUGGAACGGAGACACGGACCAGAGUACUACGGGAGGCAGCAGUAGGGAAUCGUACGCAAUGGGCGAAAGCAUGACGGAGCAACGCCGCGUGAGUGAUGAAGGUCUUCGGAGCGUAAAACUCUGUUAUUAGGGAAGAACAAAUGUGUAAGUAACUAUGCACGUCUUGACGGUACCUAAUCAGAAAGCCACGGCUAACUACGUG
This 497-nucleotide ribosomal RNA is filed under the name uncultured bacterium. Its description in RNAcentral is "partial 16S ribosomal RNA". It matches the Rfam family "Bacterial small subunit ribosomal RNA", at positions 28 to 507 of the family's 1533-position model. The record is from RNAcentral.